RNAcentral lists this ribosomal RNA (460 nucleotides) under uncultured bacterium. RNAcentral's name for it is "partial 16S ribosomal RNA". It matches the Rfam family "Bacterial small subunit ribosomal RNA", at positions 338 to 795 of the family's 1533-position model. The record is from RNAcentral.
CCUACGGGUGGCAGCAGUGAGGAAUAUUGGUCAAUGGACGAGAGUCUGAACCAGCCAAGUAGCGUGAAGGAUGACUGCCCUAUGGGUUGUAAACUUCUUUUAUAUGGGAAUAAAUUGUUCCACGUGUGGGCUUUUGUAUGUACCCUAUGAAUAAGGAUCGGCUAACUCCGUGCCAGCAGCCGCGGUAAUACGGAGGAUCCGAGCGUUAUCCGGAUUUAUUGGGUUUAAAGGGAGCGUAGGUGGGUUGUUAAGUCAGUUGUGAAAGUUUGCGGCUCAAACGUAAAAUUGCAGUUGAAACUGGCAGUCUUGAGUACAGUAGAGGUAGGCGGAAUUCGUGGUGUAGCGGUGAAAUGCUUAGAUAUCACGAAGAACUCCGAUUGCGAAGGCAGCUCACUGGACUGCAACUGACACUGAGGCUCGAAAGUGUGGGUAUCAAACAGGAUUAGAUACCCGUGUAGUC